AUACAUGACAUUCUAAGGGGCAUCAAGAAAAAUUCUUCAACAAGCAUUCUGCAAUUCGAGAAAGCUACGCCACGCCAUCAACUACAUAACUCUUUGAAGGAGUGAUCAACAGAGUUUUUUUUGGAGAUCGACUUGAAACGACAAAUUGUUUUUUGACGUCCUGGAGAUCGAUAACAUCUUAAGGAGCUCUACAUCAUCCAAUAAUUCGAGAAGCGCGCUACUGAAGGCCCUUAAAUCACGAAUCAAGAGAACAAUGAAAUUAUACUCACAUCAUUUCAUUAAUAAAAUCACAUUUUUCUUUUAUUUAUUUUACUUGUUGUUGAUUUUCGAUGCUUAAGAAAAUUUGUUGUGAACAGCACUAUGGGCAUAUCGAUUCCAAUUCUCAAUAAUAUAAUUACAGCUGAAUAUAAUGUGAUUUUCUAAUUAAGGCUUUUGCAGCUGGGCUAGUUUUGGCUAUGAGAUAUGUUCACAUACUGCCGAUGCAUUUGAGAUCUUGCUUCCGGAAAAAACUUAUAUAUAGUGAUGAAGAAAAAAUAGGACGGCCAUGUUUCACGCUGUUGUCGUCGACAGGAGGAGAAUUAUGAGGAAUUCAGUUUAUCUCGUCGGAGAGUUGUCCCGAUUAUAUACCUCAGCAAUGCAGCCACCUAAACCCAUGCCUUCAAAGAGCUGAUGAAAAGUUAAUGCAGCUACAAGAGGCUUAAUUGUUUUGGGAGAUUCUGAGGCACCCAAAGAUACACCAAUUAUUACUGAAUGCACCAAAAUUCCCAAUUCCAAUACCUGUCACAUCAAUAAACAACUAAAUUUCAGUUUCAAAUGCAAAAAUUAAGUAAUUUUAUGAUUAUUAAUGAUGAGAAUCCACCUUUUGCAACUUGAAUUACAUAUUCCUUUGAGAUAACUUGUAAAUUCUAUCUCCACUUUCAAUAACACUUGGGGAAAUUUGCAGUUUUAGUCCCUUAAAUA
Molecule: long non-coding RNA, 960 nt
Organism: Solanum lycopersicum (tomato)
Lineage: Eukaryota; Viridiplantae; Streptophyta; Magnoliopsida; Solanales; Solanaceae
Source: RefSeq, a predicted model, not a curated record